UAUAGAUGAUAAAUAUAUGCAAGUAUUAAGUGAAUAAGCGUUUACAAAACUCAUAGUAAUCCUAAAACGCUUAGACGCUUUAUGAUAGUGAAAUUAAAACCACGUUUCAAGUGUAUUUCGUUUGUGACGUUUGCAAUAUUUUAAUGUCGGCUUUCUACUGUCAAGUGAGACGAAAUAAAGUUUAAGUUAUGAUAUGCGAUUUAUAAAAAGUAUUUAACAAAUAUUGUGUAAAUGUGUUAAAUUUGACGUCACAAACACAUUUCAUGGAUAGUUAAGAUUUUAGUGUCAUGGAAAAUCUAUGCAUAUUUAAUUAGAUUCAGAAUUUGAGAGCAUUUUGUUUGUUUAUAGAUGUAUUGUAUUAUGUUUAAGGUUAAUUGGUUCAAGUGAACUCUUGUGAAGAACUAGAGAUAAAAUUUUAAAAAAAAAUGUAUUUUAGAAACAAUUGUUGUUUAUAAAAUACAUUUUUUAAAACUGCUAUUCUAUAAUACAUAAUCAUGACUGAAUAACGUCAACUCAACACAUUUCGUUCAAACAAAAACUUAGGCUUAAAAAGUGUAGCCUUAUUCUUUGUCAUUGAAAUACUUAACUGAAAAUUGCGCUGCAAAAUUUAAACAUGACAGUGCUUAUACGAGGAGAUGAAUGAAAUUGAACGUCUCGUGGUUGGUUACGCUUUCCUUGAAGAAAAUCCGAGCCUGAUAUUGGCUGCUACGACUGCCAUAGUAUAUUAGUCCUACAGUUAGGAAACUUAGUCAUGACAUUAAAUCAUUUCCAAGACACAACUGUAUGAUUUCUAAACUGUGAUUAUGCUAUUAGGUUGUUCUAUGGUCGAUUUGGGGAAAAAUGUAAUACUGGCAGGGUUAAAUUUUUUUUUUUUUUAAAUUACCAAUUACGGAAAUAAUGUUUAUUUGUAAUGUUUUACUGUUUUUGUGUGUUCUUUUUUAAUUCACACGUAGAAACCUUCUGUUUUUCCGGCCCACAAAUAUCAGGAUGCCUAGUUAUUAAAAAUAAAAAAAAACUUUGUCUCGUCUCGCCCUCACUUUAGUUAUAAUAAAUAAAUAUUGUUUUCUUAUUAUUGAUUUCUAACACAAAAUGAUUAAAUCCGAAAAAUAUAUAGUUUUUUGACCCAUGUUGAUAUAAUUGUAUGAAUCUACAGAUAAAAUCGUAUGCAUUCUUAAAUCAUGCCUGUAACAUACUCACGGAUGCAUUUCGACUAAUUGUAUUGUAACAGAUGAAUGUAUUGAGAUAUUGUUUUGUAUUUUAUAUUUAUACAUAUACUGUAAGGACCUCUCAAGGUAUACCUAAGUUUCGGAGCAACGUCCGGCAGGAUACGUAAUCACCCUGCGUGAUGUUUAUUCAUAAAUACUCAAGUUUCCUGUUUAUUCGGAUUAUCUUUUAUUAUUCAGGUGUAUUUAAAAUAGCUAAGAAUAUCGCGCGAGUUAUAUUACAAAAGUUUUCAGGGAAAAAAACCAUUCUCUUAUUUCUUGACCUUUCAACUAACUCUUUGCCAAAAUACUAGCGUGAAGAGACAACCAAACAAACACAUUUUUUUGUAUGUACCGUAACGUCAAAAUUCUAUGAAUAAACAUCAACGUGUCAGGUGGUAGGUUAAUGUUUUAGUGGUACGUAAUUUAGCUUUCUUGGUACUUUUAGUCGUUAUUGCAGUAUUUUGAUGCAAAUAUUAUUAUUUAAUAAGCGUAUUAAUAAAUAAAUUGACUCCGAUAUAG
Long non-coding RNA from Pararge aegeria (speckled wood butterfly), 1724 nucleotides. RefSeq lists it as uncharacterized. Lineage: Eukaryota; Metazoa; Arthropoda; Insecta; Lepidoptera; Nymphalidae. The record is from RefSeq and is a predicted model, not a curated record. The transcript has 2 exons.